UGUUACCUACGGGGGGCAGCAGUGGGGAAUAUUGCACAAUGGGGGGAACCCUGAUGCAGCGACGCCGCGUGGGCGAUGGAGUAUUUCGGUAUGUAAAGCCCUAUCGGCAGGGAAGAAGCUGACAGUACCUGACUAAGAAGCACCGGCUAAAUACGUGCCAGCAGCCGCGGUAAUACGUAUGGUGCAAGCGUUAUCCGGAUUUAAUGGGUGUAAAGGGAGCGCAGGCGGCGCGUUAAGCCUUGUGUGAAAGCCCGCGGCCCAACCGCGGGACUGCAUUGGGGAC
This 283-nucleotide ribosomal RNA is filed under the name uncultured bacterium. RNAcentral describes it as "partial 16S ribosomal RNA". It matches the Rfam family "Bacterial small subunit ribosomal RNA", at positions 333 to 633 of the family's 1533-position model. The record is from RNAcentral.